AUUGAACGCUGGCGGCAUGCCUUACACAUGCAAGUCAAACGGUAACAGGUCUUCGGAUGCUGACGAGUGGCGAACGGGUGAGUAAUACAUCGGAACGUGCCUAGUAGUGGGGGAUAACUACUCGAAAGAGUGGCUAAUACCGCAUGAGAUCUACGGAUGAAAGCAGGGGAUCGCAAGACCUUGUGCUACUAGAGCGGCCGAUGGCAGAUUAGGUAGUUGGUGGGAUAAAAGCUUACCAAGCCGACGAUCUGUAGCUGGUCUGAGAGGACGAUCAGCGACACUGGGACUGAGACACGGCCCAGACUCCUACGGGAGGCAGCAGUGGGGAAUUUUGGACAAUGGGCGCAAGCCUGAUCCAGCAAUGCCGCGUGCGGGAUGAAGGCCUUCGGGUUGUAAACUGCUUUUGUACGGAACGAAAAGCCCCGGGUUAAUACCCUGGGGUCAUGACGGUACCGUAAGAAUAAGCACCGGCUAACUACGUGCCAGCCGCCGCAGUAA
This 498-nucleotide ribosomal RNA is filed under the name uncultured bacterium. RNAcentral describes it as "partial 16S ribosomal RNA". It matches the Rfam family "Bacterial small subunit ribosomal RNA", at positions 30 to 523 of the family's 1533-position model. The record is from RNAcentral.